Myotis brandtii (Brandt's bat) is the source of this 172-nucleotide long non-coding RNA. RefSeq lists it as uncharacterized. The record is from RefSeq and is a predicted model, not a curated record. NCBI's taxonomy places the organism in Eukaryota, Metazoa, Chordata, Mammalia, Chiroptera, Vespertilionidae. The transcript is spliced from 3 exons.
UGGCUUGCAGCUCCCCUGGGGGCCGCCAUCUUGAAACAGCCAAGGCCAACCCCUCCCUUUGAAUUAGCCAAUCGCGAAAGACUGUGCGCCUGAGCUCCUAUCAAGAGCAAGGGACAGGUCACGUGCAUCAGGGAUUAUAAAGCCAAGCAGAGCACACUGCUCAUGUGGGAGG